AAAACAUCGCCUUUAGCUAAACAAGUAUUAAAGGUACCGCCUGCCCAGUGAGCCCCCUUAAACGGCCGCGGUACUCUAACCGUGCAAAGGUAGCGUAAUCACUUGCCCCCUAAAUAGGGGCUAGUAUGAAUGGCUAAAUGAGGGCCUAUCUGUCUCCUGCGACAAGCCAAUGAAACUGCUCUCUCAGUACAAAAGCUGAGAUAACCCCACAAGACGAGAAGACCCUGUGGAGCUUCUAAGCACCACACUAACCCCACUCAACCACCCAUAGUGCCUAGCUUUUAGUUGGGGCGACUACGGAGAUAACCCGAACCUCCGUGAACCAGGAUCUACUCCAUCUAAGGCAAACAAGCCUAAGAUACUAGCAACCCUUUGACCCAGCACCGCUGAACAACGAACCAAGUUACCCCAGGGAUAACAGCGCAAUCCUCCCCAAGAGUCCCUAUCGCCAGGAGGGUUUACGACCUCGAUGUUGGAUCAGGACACCCAGGCGGUGCAGCCGCUGCCAAAGGUUCGUUUGUUCAACGACUAAUGUCCUAC
Molecule: ribosomal RNA, 540 nt
Filed under: Phyllodactylus johnwrighti
Lineage: Eukaryota; Metazoa; Chordata; Lepidosauria; Squamata; Phyllodactylidae
Description: partial 16S ribosomal RNA
Rfam family: Bacterial large subunit ribosomal RNA
Source: RNAcentral